GCCCUGAAAACCCUGGGUUCCCUUCCUGCCUUCUAAGCAGGUUGUCGCAGGUUCGAUUCCUGCAGGGGUCGCCA
RNAcentral lists this transfer RNA (74 nucleotides) under Rhizobium esperanzae. RNAcentral describes it as "tRNA-Arg". The stretch from base 8 to 71 matches the Rfam family "tRNA". Rfam says of the family: Transfer RNA (tRNA) molecules are approximately 80 nucleotides in length. Their secondary structure includes four short double-helical elements and three loops (D, anti-codon, and T loops). Further hydrogen bonds mediate the characteristic L-shaped molecular structure. tRNAs have two regions of fundamental functional importance: the anti-codon, which is responsible for specific mRNA codon recognition, and the 3' end, to which the tRNAs corresponding amino acid is attached (by aminoacyl-tRNA synthetases). tRNAs cope with the degeneracy of the genetic code in two manners: having more than one tRNA (with a specific anti-codon) for a particular amino acid; and 'wobble' base-pairing, i.e. permitting non-standard base-pairing at the 3rd anti-codon position. Lineage: Bacteria; Pseudomonadati; Pseudomonadota; Alphaproteobacteria; Hyphomicrobiales; Rhizobiaceae. The record is from RNAcentral.